GUGCCAGCAGCCGCGGUAAUACGGAGGAUCCAAGCGUUAUCCGGAAUCAUUGGGUUUAAAGGGUCCGUAGGCGGGCCAUUAAGUCAGGGGUGAAAGUCUGCAGCUCAACUGUAGAAUUGCCCUUGAUACUGGUGGCCUUGAGUUAUAGUGAAGUAACUAGAAUAUGUAGUGUAGCGGUGAAAUGCAUAGAUAUUACAUAGAAUACCGAUUGCGAAGGCAGGUUACUAACUAUAUACUGACGCUGAUGGACGAAAGCGUGGGGAGCGAACAGGAUUAGAUACCCUGGUAGUCCACGCCGUAAACGAUGGAUACUAGCUGUCCGGAUGCAAAUCUGGGCGGCCAAGCGAAAGUGAUAAGUAUCCCACCUGGGGAGUACGUCCGCAAGGAUGAAACUCAAAGGAAUUGACGG
RNAcentral lists this ribosomal RNA (409 nucleotides) under Arenibacter sp. RNAcentral describes it as "bacterial SSU rRNA". It matches the Rfam family "Bacterial small subunit ribosomal RNA", at positions 505 to 916 of the family's 1533-position model. Lineage: Bacteria; Pseudomonadati; Bacteroidota; Flavobacteriia; Flavobacteriales; Flavobacteriaceae. The record is from RNAcentral.